GCCUAACACAUGCAAGUCGAGCGAGAACCAGUCCUUCGGGACUGGGGACAGCGGCGAACGGGUGAGUAACACGUGGGUAAUCUGCCCUCGAUUCUGGGAUAGCCCGGGGAAACCCGGAUUAAUACCGGAUAGCCUCUCGAGCUUACGAGCUCUUGAGAAAAGGUAGCUUCGGCCUCCGAUCGAGGAUGAGCCCGCGGCGGAUUAGCUAGUUGGUGGGGUAAUGGCCUACCAAGGCAACGAUCCGUAGCUGGUCUGAGAGGACGAUCAGCCACACUGGGACUGAGACACGGCCCAGACUCCUACGGGAGGCAGCAGUGGGGAAUCUUGCGCAAUGGGCGAAAGCCUGACGCAGCGACGCCGCGUGGGGGAAGAAGGCCUUCGGGUUGUAAACCUCUUUCAACAGGGACGAAGCCACUCGGGUUAAUAGCCCAGAGGGUGACGGUACCUGCAGAAGAAGCCCCGGCUAACUACGUGCCAGCAGCCGCGGUAAU
Molecule: ribosomal RNA, 491 nt
Filed under: uncultured bacterium
Lineage: Bacteria
Description: bacterial SSU rRNA
Rfam family: Bacterial small subunit ribosomal RNA
Source: RNAcentral